RNAcentral lists this long non-coding RNA (1170 nucleotides) under Heterocephalus glaber (naked mole-rat). Its description in RNAcentral is "lncRNA (ENSHGLG00100051987.1)". Lineage: Eukaryota; Metazoa; Chordata; Mammalia; Rodentia; Bathyergidae. The record is from RNAcentral.
GAAGAAACUCUCAAGCCGCCUUAACUUACACAGCGGGCCCCAUGCCUGGCGCUGGGAGGAAUGGCGAGGCUGUCCUGUCCCUAGGGCAGAGGGCUUGCGGGGCUGAGCACCUGAGCACAAGUACUUCGUGGUCAAGAGUGUUCCACAUUGCUGACAUUCAGCUCAGCCUCAGAAGCACCCUUGACAACUACCGAUGGCCACAGCCAAAUGGUUACCUGUAAAGUGGCCACUGCACCGUUUUCAGACAUGCCUGAACGAACUGCACACAGUGGGCCUGCAGAGCUGCGCCUUCCAGCCCCCUGCCUCGCCUGGCCGACCACUCCCGCUCUACACUUCGGAAGCAGGCUCAAGACUGCCUACCUCUUAAAGCUGCUGGAGAAGUGAGCCCAAUUCCAUAAGGACUGCAGGGGCCAAAGAUGACGCUCCCCUAGUCGUCACUGACUCUCCUUGUUGCACGAGUUACAGACCCGCAGGAGGACACCAGCAUCCUGGCUGGGCCCUGACCAGACCCUUGCACUGCACCCUAACCCUGGCUGGCCAUCCCCGUGACCUGCAGGCCCACAGCCCUUCUAGAACCACCAACCAACUCUACUCGGCACUCUGGCCUACUUGCCACAUGGACAACACGAUUGCUGGACCCUGAAGACAUCUUAGCUGGUGACCUACAAACAUCUGCUUGCAGGAUCUUCUUGGAGCAAGCCUUAGACAUCCAGGAAGUAGCAGGAGCCCCAAGGUUCAGUUUCUCAAGAGCACCAAGAAAUGGCCAAUGCUUUAGUUAAGAAUGUGCACCAGCCUGCAGUUCUUCACUGAGGUAUUUUGUCACAGUGACAGAAAGCUGAGCAUCACAAACACAAGGAAGAAGGUCAUGGUAAAUGCAAGCAGAGACUGGAGUGAAGCAGCUAUAAGCCAUGAAUGCUGGGGAGCGUUGGAGCCACCAGAAGCUAUGAAGAGCCAAGGAAGGCUUACUUCUUCCUAGAGUUUUUACCUGGAGUAUAGCCCUACUGCUACCUUGAUUUCAGACUUUUAGCCACCAAAUAAGUGAUGGAAUAAAUUUCUGCUGUUUUAAACCAUUUAGUUUGUGGGAAUUUGUCAUAGCAGCUCCAGGAAAUGAAUAUAUGCAAAACCACCCAUUGAUUACCUAUUGUAUUUUAGGAUUAAUAAACAAGGCUG